This 2929-nucleotide ribosomal RNA is filed under the name Escherichia coli. RNAcentral's name for it is "23S ribosomal RNA". It matches the Rfam family "Bacterial large subunit ribosomal RNA". The record is from RNAcentral. Lineage: Bacteria; Pseudomonadati; Pseudomonadota; Gammaproteobacteria; Enterobacterales; Enterobacteriaceae.
GGGUUGUGAGGUUAAGCGACUAAGCGUACACGGUGGAUGCCCUGGCAGUCAGAGGCGAUGAAGGACGUGCUAAUCUGCGAUAAGCGUCGGUAAGGUGAUAUGAACCGUUAUAACCGGCGAUUUCCGAAUGGGGAAACCCAGUGUGAUUCGUCACACUAUCAUUAACUGAAUCCAUAGGUUAAUGAGGCGAACCGGGGGAACUGAAACAUCUAAGUACCCCGAGGAAAAGAAAUCAACCGAGAUUCCCCCAGUAGCGGCGAGCGAACGGGGAGGAGCCCAGAGCCUGAAUCAGUGUGUGUGUUAGUGGAAGCGUCUGGAAAGGCGCGCGAUACAGGGUGACAGCCCCGUACACAAAAAUGCACAUAUUGUGAGCUCGAUGAGUAGGGCGGGACACGUGGUAUCCUGUCUGAAUAUGGGGGGACCAUCCUCCAAGGCUAAAUACUCCUGACUGACCGAUAGUGAACCAGUACCGUGAGGGAAAGGCGAAAAGAACCCCGGCGAGGGGAGUGAAAAAGAACCUGAAACCGUGUACGUACAAGCAGUGGGAGCACGCUUAGGCGUGUGACUGCGUACCUUUUGUAUAAUGGGUCAGCGACUUAUAUUCUGUAGCAAGGUUAACCGAAUAGGGGAGCCGAAGGGAAACCGAGUCUUAACUGGGCGUUAAGUUGCAGGGUAUAGACCCGAAACCCGGUGAUCUAGCCAUGGGCAGGUUGAAGGUUGGGUAACACUAACUGGAGGACCGAACCGACUAAUGUUGAAAAAUUAGCGGAUGACUUGUGGCUGGGGGUGAAAGGCCAAUCAAACCGGGAGAUAGCUGGUUCUCCCCGAAAGCUAUUUAGGUAGCGCCUCGUGAAUUCAUCUCCGGGGGUAGAGCACUGUUUCGGCAAGGGGGUCAUCCCGACUUACCAACCCGAUGCAAACUGCGAAUACCGGAGAAUGUUAUCACGGGAGACACACGGCGGGUGCUAACGUCCGUCGUGAAGAGGGAAACAACCCAGACCGCCAGCUAAGGUCCCAAAGUCAUGGUUAAGUGGGAAACGAUGUGGGAAGGCCCAGACAGCCAGGAUGUUGGCUUAGAAGCAGCCAUCAUUUAAAGAAAGCGUAAUAGCUCACUGGUCGAGUCGGCCUGCGCGGAAGAUGUAACGGGGCUAAACCAUGCACCGAAGCUGCGGCAGCGACACUAUGUGUUGUUGGGUAGGGGAGCGUUCUGUAAGCCUGUGAAGGUGUGCUGUGAGGCAUGCUGGAGGUAUCAGAAGUGCGAAUGCUGACAUAAGUAACGAUAAAGCGGGUGAAAAGCCCGCUCGCCGGAAGACCAAGGGUUCCUGUCCAACGUUAAUCGGGGCAGGGUGAGUCGACCCCUAAGGCGAGGCCGAAAGGCGUAGUCGAUGGGAAACAGGUUAAUAUUCCUGUACUUGGUGUUACUGCGAAGGGGGGACGGAGAAGGCUAUGUUGGCCGGGCGACGGUUGUCCCGGUUUAAGCGUGUAGGCUGGUUUUCCAGGCAAAUCCGGAAAAUCAAGGCUGAGGCGUGAUGACGAGGCACUACGGUGCUGAAGCAACAAAUGCCCUGCUUCCAGGAAAAGCCUCUAAGCAUCAGGUAACAUCAAAUCGUACCCCAAACCGACACAGGUGGUCAGGUAGAGAAUACCAAGGCGCUUGAGAGAACUCGGGUGAAGGAACUAGGCAAAAUGGUGCCGUAACUUCGGGAGAAGGCACGCUGAUAUGUAGGUGAGGUCCCUCGCGGAUGGAGCUGAAAUCAGUCGAAGAUACCAGCUGGCUGCAACUGUUUAUUAAAAACACAGCACUGUGCAAACACGAAAGUGGACGUAUACGGUGUGACGCCUGCCCGGUGCCGGAAGGUUAAUUGAUGGGGUUAGCGCAAGCGAAGCUCUUGAUCGAAGCCCCGGUAAACGGCGGCCGUAACUAUAACGGUCCUAAGGUAGCGAAAUUCCUUGUCGGGUAAGUUCCGACCUGCACGAAUGGCGUAAUGAUGGCCAGGCUGUCUCCACCCGAGACUCAGUGAAAUUGAACUCGCUGUGAAGAUGCAGUGUACCCGCGGCAAGACGGAAAGACCCCGUGAACCUUUACUAUAGCUUGACACUGAACAUUGAGCCUUGAUGUGUAGGAUAGGUGGGAGGCUUUGAAGUGUGGACGCCAGUCUGCAUGGAGCCGACCUUGAAAUACCACCCUUUAAUGUUUGAUGUUCUAACGUUGACCCGUAAUCCGGGUUGCGGACAGUGUCUGGUGGGUAGUUUGACUGGGGCGGUCUCCUCCUAAAGAGUAACGGAGGAGCACGAAGGUUGGCUAAUCCUGGUCGGACAUCAGGAGGUUAGUGCAAUGGCAUAAGCCAGCUUGACUGCGAGCGUGACGGCGCGAGCAGGUGCGAAAGCAGGUCAUAGUGAUCCGGUGGUUCUGAAUGGAAGGGCCAUCGCUCAACGGAUAAAAGGUACUCCGGGGAUAACAGGCUGAUACCGCCCAAGAGUUCAUAUCGACGGCGGUGUUUGGCACCUCGAUGUCGGCUCAUCACAUCCUGGGGCUGAAGUAGGUCCCAAGGGUAUGGCUGUUCGCCAUUUAAAGUGGUACGCGAGCUGGGUUUAGAACGUCGUGAGACAGUUCGGUCCCUAUCUGCCGUGGGCGCUGGAGAACUGAGGGGGGCUGCUCCUAGUACGAGAGGACCGGAGUGGACGCAUCACUGGUGUUCGGGUUGUCAUGCCAAUGGCACUGCCCGGUAGCUAAAUGCGGAAGAGAUAAGUGCUGAAAGCAUCUAAGCACGAAACUUGCCCCGAGAUGAGUUCUCCCUGACCCUUUAAGGGUCCUGAAGGAACGUUGAAGACGACGACGUUGAUAGGCCGGGUGUGUAAGCGCAGCGAUGCGUUGAGCUAACCGGUACUAAUGAACCGUGAGGCUUAACCUUACAACGCCGAAGCUGUU